Molecule: ribosomal RNA, 450 nt
Filed under: uncultured bacterium
Lineage: Bacteria
Description: bacterial SSU rRNA
Rfam family: Bacterial small subunit ribosomal RNA
Source: RNAcentral
CGCCCAGACUCCUACGGGAGGCAGCAGUGGGGAAUAUUGGACAAUGGGGGAAACCCUGAUCCAGCGACGCCGCGUGAGUGAAGAAGUAUUUCGGUACGUAAAGCUCUAUCAGCAGGAAAGAAAAUGACGGUACCUGACUAAGAAGCCCCGGCUAACUACGUGCCAGCAGCCGCGGUAAUACGUAGGGGGCAAGCGUUAUCCGGAUUUACUGGGUGUAAAGGGAGCGUAGACGGCAGCGCAAGUCUGGAGUGAAAGGCCGGGGCCCAACCCCGGAACUGCUCUGGAAACUGUGAAGCUGGAGUGCAGGAGAGGUAAGCGGAAUUCCUGGUGUAGCGGUGAAAUGCGUAGAUAUCAGGAGGAACACCGGCGGCGAAGGCGGCUUACUGGACUGUAACUGACGUUGAGGCUCGAAGGCGUGGGGAGCAAACAGGAUUAGAUACCCUAGUACAA